Molecule: transfer RNA, 90 nt
Filed under: Rhizobiaceae bacterium
Lineage: Bacteria; Pseudomonadati; Pseudomonadota; Alphaproteobacteria; Hyphomicrobiales; Rhizobiaceae
Description: tRNA-Gly
Source: RNAcentral
CGAGCAGAUAGGCGGCUCGGCCGCCCGUCUCCCAUACCGGCGGGACGAGCACGGCAUCGCGGUAUUGCGCGUUCGGCGCGUGCGGCGCGA